AGGGGACACUGGAGGAUGAACAGUAUUUCCUAGUUUAAUGUUUUUUUUUUUUUUUCUAGGCAGACUUUUGUAGUGCACAGUGACCGGUGACCAGCAGCAUGUGUUUCCAUAGGCAUCUUCUCUCAGUACCCCAGAAGGUGAAUUGCCAGUGAGUCCUGCCAGGAUGCCCCUCGGUGACUGCACCACCCAGUAAAAAGACAUCCCUUAACUAUGGCAAAACAACAACAACAACGACGACAAAAAACAAAACAAAACAAAACAAAACCCUGCAUCAAU
RNAcentral lists this long non-coding RNA (276 nucleotides) under Homo sapiens (human). Its description in RNAcentral is "non-protein coding lnc-POLE4-8:11". The record is from RNAcentral. Lineage: Eukaryota; Metazoa; Chordata; Mammalia; Primates; Hominidae.